UAAGUAGGCGGAGGAAAUGACACAAACAUGGAUUCACUGAGUAACUGCGAGUGACAUGUGAUUUGCUCACAGCUGAUAUUCUUUGCUGUCUGCUUUGACAUGAGGACUUUGAGUGCGGUGCCAAUGGUGGUGUAAGUGUGAGCCAUCUUGGAAAAGAGGAGAGUGUGCACUGACAAGGGUGAGAAGCCUGUGUGUGCUUGCAAAAUCUCCAUAUGGGGGUCACGCUUUGAGAAUCAUGCUCUUAAAGUGGGUGGUAGACUCUUCUCAAAGCUGAGUACAGAACUGGGACCGACAGGGAAGAAGUACCAUGAGGGAAGUGUGAAAAGGACUUUGGAAAGAGACUUAAAAGAGCCUGUACUUGCUGAAGGAUAUGCAUACAGCAUGCUUGCAUGUGAGAUGAUUGCUGUGUGUAUGAGUCUGACUUUGGCUGGAUGGCCAUGGCCGUGUGCCAUGGACACUUGGCCACCCAAUGUGUAUCCUCUUGUGUGUGCCAGCAUGUGGGAGACAGUCAGUGUUUGAGUGCAGUGGUUGCUGUGUCUGGGGAUACAUCAGAUGUGCACUCAAAGAUCUGAGCAUGUUGAGAAGCAGGUGCAGAAGGGCCCUCCUGUCUGUAUGACCCGUCUUGAAACACGGACCAAGGAGUCUAGCAUGAGUGCAAGCAUAUGGGACCGAAGGCUCUGUGUGCAAUGAAGGUGGAGUCCCAGAUUUGUGCAUGAGUGUUCAAACAAGCAGGAGGACAAGGUUUGAGUCUGAGCAUUCCUGACAGGACCCGAAAGAUGGUGAACUAUGCCCGGAAAGGGCCAAGUCAGGGGAAACUCUGGUGGAGGCUCGUAGCGUUACUGACGUGCAGAUCGUUCGUCACACCUGGGUAUGGGGGCGAAAGACUAAUCGAACCAUCUAGUAGCUGGUUCCCUCUGAAGUUUCCCUCAGGAUAGCUGAACUUGCAGGACUUUCACCAGGUAAAGCGAAUGAUUGGAGGAAUUGGGGGUUGCAGACCUUUGACCUAUUCUCAAACUUUUAAUGGGUGUGUUGUGUGGUUGCUUAGCUGAACCAACAGCUAAUGAUGACUCUUAGUGGGCCACUUUUGGUAAGCAGAACUGGCGAUGAGGGGUGAACCUGAUGAUGGGUUAAGGCACUGAAGUUCUUGCUCAUCAGAAACUGUAAAGGGUGUUGGCUCAUUCUGACAGCAGGUCGGUGGUCAUGGAAGUUGAAAUCCGCUUGGGAGUGU
This 1228-nucleotide ribosomal RNA is filed under the name Gambierdiscus sp. UrGt4. RNAcentral describes it as "eukaryotic LSU rRNA". It matches the Rfam family "Eukaryotic large subunit ribosomal RNA", at positions 43 to 1281 of the family's 3401-position model. The record is from RNAcentral. Lineage: Eukaryota; Dinophyceae; Gonyaulacales; Pyrocystaceae.